GGCAGAACGCUCGCCUUGGCUGCGGGAGUGAGUGUGAGUGUGAGAGCAAGAACAGCCCGCAGGUCCCGAGGCGCUUGCAGGGGACUCUGCCGCGGAAAGUUCCCAGUCCCCAGCCGCAGAAGAUUUUUAUUUUUGGUUGAUUCCUGCUGUCUACUCCUCUUGGAUGCCUUUGUGAAACUGCUUCUAUCUGAGAAGGAGGAGUUGCCAUUCAGCAAGUAGUAGGUGGCACUGUGUGUGGCAGAGUCCGACGCGUUACACCAUGAGGACAUUCAUCUUUGAAGUCCUUCUGCCUAGUUCCCAUUCCUUGUGAACAGAAGAGGACUGGAAAUCUCUCCUCGCAGGACUGCAUACUGUUAUCUCUGAGAAACCAGAAAGAACAAAGUACGUCAUCUUUCCAAGCUUCUACCUAAUAGAAUACUGGAAGGUUUACCUAGAGCAACAAGACAACAAAAUGGAUUGUCCUUCUCGUGCUAGUCCACACACAGUUCUCAUCAUUUUGAUAAGAUAGCGUGAAGUCUCUUAUCACUUUGUGGAUCCAACACUCAGGUUCAGGUUCAUCUGCCCACAAUUCUCUAAGAUUUGGAACUGUUGAGGAGUGGCUCAUAGUAGACCCUGGACCACCAGCCAACUGCAUUUGUUGUCCUGCCAACCUUUCAAGUGACACUGAAGGUCUAAAUACACACCUAGAAUAAAAAUCAGAGUGUUUAAGAAACUAAAUAUGAUCUGCGGGAGGAUACAUGAGGGAUUUUUAAAAAAUUAUUAUUAUUUCAUACUACAGACUGAUGCAGCAUGGAUUUCAACUGAGGACGUUCACCUUUGUCCCUUGGAUCAAUAUGUGAGCUCACAGAUUUCUCUGCUUUUGUCCUGUCAUUAUGGACUCUAAAAUUCUGAAACCACAUAGUCAAUUAAAUGUUUUCUUUUAUA
RNAcentral lists this long non-coding RNA (924 nucleotides) under Mus pahari (shrew mouse). Its description in RNAcentral is "lncRNA (MGP_PahariEiJ_G0012438.1)". The record is from RNAcentral. Lineage: Eukaryota; Metazoa; Chordata; Mammalia; Rodentia; Muridae.